AAAUCUUUAGUUUAAUUAGAAUAUUUUGUUUACGACAAGAAGGUCUGUGGGUUUU
RNAcentral lists this transfer RNA (55 nucleotides) under Ophidascaris sp. CYZ-2020. RNAcentral's name for it is "tRNA-Val". The record is from RNAcentral. Lineage: Eukaryota; Metazoa; Nematoda; Chromadorea; Rhabditida; Anisakidae.